GUGCUAAUCUAGUGGUAGGCUGAUAAUGAAUAAACAUGAUGCUCCCACAAUAAGUUAGUUUUAAUGCAAGCUUUUGGCAAAUCUUGAGUCAACCAGCUCUAAUUGAUAUUGGCCUUGCAUGAUCCUUGGUGUCUUUUAUGUUUUACUAGACGGGUAAGUCUAGCUGAGUACAUUCUCGUACUCAGGGUUCAUUCCCACCUGUUGC
RNAcentral lists this long non-coding RNA (205 nucleotides) under Sorghum bicolor (sorghum). RNAcentral's name for it is "long non-coding RNA (SBIC_LNC012638)". The record is from RNAcentral. Lineage: Eukaryota; Viridiplantae; Streptophyta; Magnoliopsida; Poales; Poaceae.